Molecule: ribosomal RNA, 253 nt
Filed under: uncultured bacterium
Lineage: Bacteria
Description: partial 16S ribosomal RNA
Rfam family: Bacterial small subunit ribosomal RNA
Source: RNAcentral
UACGAAGGGUGCAAACGUUGCUCGGAAUUAUUGGGCGUAAAGCGCACGUAGGCGGCAUCGCAAGUCGGAUGUGAAAUCUUAUGGCUUAACCAUAAAAGUGCAUCCGAAACUGCAGUGCUUGAGUACUUAAGAGGAUCGCGGAAUUCCCGGUGUAGAGGUGAAAUUCGUAGAUAUCGGGAGGAACACCAGUGGCGAAGGCGGCGAUCUGGGAAGAUACUGACGCUGAGGCGCGAAAGCCAGGGGAGCAAACGGG